AACGAACGCUGGCGGCAUGCCUAACACAUGCAAGUCGAACGAGACCUUCGGGGCUAGUGGCGCACGGGUGCGUAACGCGUGGGAACCUGCCCUUAGGUUCGGAAUAACUCCCCGAAAGGGGUGCUAAUACCGGAUAAUGUCUUCGGACCAAAGGUUUAUCGCUUUUGGAUGGGCCCGCGUUGGAUUAGCUAGUUGGUAGGGUAAAAGCCUACCAAGGCGACGAUCCAUAGCUGGUCUGAGAGGAUGAUCAGCCACACUGGGACUGAGACACGGCCCAGACUCCUACGGGAGGCAGCAGUGGGGAAUAUUGGACAGUGGGCGAAAGCCUGAUCCAGCAAUGCCGCGUGAGUGAUGAAGGCCUUAGGGUUGUAAAGCUCUUUUACCCGGGAUGAUAAUGACAGUACCGGGAGAAUAAGCUCCGGCUAACUCCGUG
This 433-nucleotide ribosomal RNA is filed under the name uncultured bacterium. RNAcentral's name for it is "partial 16S ribosomal RNA". It matches the Rfam family "Bacterial small subunit ribosomal RNA", at positions 29 to 507 of the family's 1533-position model. The record is from RNAcentral.